UUCUGCGUAGUUUAGUGGCUAUGACGGGACCUUGUCAUUCGACAAGUCGGUCCAGACCCGGGUUCAAUUCCCGGCGCGGAAG
Malassezia pachydermatis is the source of this 82-nucleotide transfer RNA. It matches the Rfam family "tRNA". Rfam says of the family: Transfer RNA (tRNA) molecules are approximately 80 nucleotides in length. The record is from Rfam. Lineage: Eukaryota; Fungi; Basidiomycota; Malasseziomycetes; Malasseziales; Malasseziaceae.